Molecule: ribosomal RNA, 494 nt
Filed under: uncultured Chloroflexota bacterium
Lineage: Bacteria; Bacillati; Chloroflexota
Description: bacterial SSU rRNA
Rfam family: Bacterial small subunit ribosomal RNA
Source: RNAcentral
UAGGGAAUAUUGCACAAUGGGCGAAAGCCUGAUGCAGCAACGCCGCGUGUGCGAAGAAGGCCUUCGGGUCGUAAAGCACUUUUCUGAGAGAUGAGAAAGGACAGUAUCUCAGGAAUAAGUCUCGGCUAACUACGUGCCAGCAGCCGCGGUAAAACGUAGGAGGCGAGCGUUAUCCGGAUUCACUGGGCGUAAAGCGCGUGCAGGCGGUUCGGUAAGUUGGGCGUGAAAUCUCCUGGCUCAACUAGGAGAGGUCGUUCAAUACUACCGGACCUGAGAGCGGUAGAGGAAGAUGGAAUUCCCGGUGUAGUGGUGAAAUGCGUAGAUAUCGGGAGGAACACCAGUGGCGAAGGCGAUCUUCUGGACCGUUUCUGACGCUCAGACGCGACAGCUAGGGUAGCAAACGGGAUUAGAGACCCCGGUAGUCCUAGCCGUAAACGAUGUGAACUUGGCGUCGGUGGGUUAAACUCCAUCGGUGCCGCAGCUAACGCGAUAAG